Molecule: long non-coding RNA, 1096 nt
Organism: Trichomycterus rosablanca
Lineage: Eukaryota; Metazoa; Chordata; Actinopteri; Siluriformes; Trichomycteridae
Exons: 3
Source: RefSeq, a predicted model, not a curated record
UGUUGAUUUUAGAGUCUCUUCCACAAAGAACCGAACAGUGCAGCUCAGAUUCUGGAAGCUUCCAUGUUUCUGCUUCAUAACGGCAGUUAAUAACAACAAACCUGAAUCCUGCUUCUUAUUUUAAGAAGGAGGGGAGCAGGAGCAGAGCCCUCAGAAGGAUCCUACACGCCAGCUGAAUAUUUUAUGCUUGACCGUGCGUACAGACUGGAACCUGUCGGUAAGUGAAAGCUCUGACUGAAUACAGUCAGUGGAGACAGAAGAAAGGAGCUGACACAGCUGUCUGCAUAGCUAACAGUAAACCAAGUAAGACCUUUGUUCCUGGAAGCUGACAUCGUCUCCAAGCAACUUUACAGAAUCCAGGACCGACAGACCAAAAACCUCCUGUUGAGCAGCCGAGGGCGACAGUGGCAGAAAAAACUCCCUUAAAAAUACAGGAAGGAACCCUGAGAGGACUCGGCAGGAACCCCCAUUCAUCUCAGGUGGCCUGGAGGAUCAUUUGAAUAAAUAGAAUUUACACAAUUCAUACAAACACAAAACUGAAUUUAACUAAAAGUUAUAACUAGCAAAAACACGCCAGGUUUCCAUCACAACUAGCAGGAGCAGUGGCAGUCCGGACUUGCAGUCUUUAACCUCGGGAGGGUAACCAGGUUCGCGUCAGAACCACCUGGGGGUAAAACAUCAGAAAAUGGAGUUAAAAUGUGAAAUCGUUAAGAGUAAAAUAUCAGUUCUGCAGAGAGUAGCAUGAGACUCCGGCUGUAAGGGAGAGCGAGCAGGUAACAAGGUCAUGAGGGUUUUCACGGGACAUCAGCGCCCACCUCCCCCACCUUCAUCAAACCUGAGUGAUCGGACAAGACAGACAGAACGACAGCAACCCAACAUCCCUGGUCAGCACAAGUUUCUAAGACCUAAAAUCCCUAAGCUCUGAGCCUUUGUCUAUAAUCAGGGUGGGUAGCUCCGGUCCUAGAGGUCAAAGAUCAUGUGCAGCCAGAAGCCAACACACAGCUGAUGAUUGUUGAUUGCUUUUUUAAACCUUUAUAGUAACACUAAAUGCACAAAACCAUACAACUGCUGCGUUCUCUUUACUGGUUUCCUGUAG